GGAUGUGAGGGUGAUCUGGCUGGCUAGGCGGGGGUCCCCUUCCUCCCUCACCGCUCCAUGUGCGUCUCUCCAGAAGCUGAGCGAUCAGUUGAAGAGGACGACCUUCCCCCGAAUAGAGGAGGACCGGUCUUCCGUCAAGGGUAUUCGAGUAGCUGCGCUCCCCUGCUAGAACCUCCUAACAGGCUCUGAAAACAUGUACUAAAGUUGGGCACGGUGACGCACACCUUUCAUCCCAGCAUUUGGGAGGUGGAA
Mesocricetus auratus (golden hamster) is the source of this 252-nucleotide unclassified non-coding RNA. Its record names the gene 7SK. It matches the Rfam family "7SK RNA". Rfam says of the family: 7SK was discovered as an abundant small nuclear RNA in the mid-70s but a possible function has only recently been suggested. The record is from Ensembl. NCBI's taxonomy places the organism in Eukaryota, Metazoa, Chordata, Mammalia, Rodentia, Cricetidae.